CAGUCGCCGCGGUAAUACGAGGGGUGCAAGCGUUAUUCGGAUUGAUUGGGUGUAAAGGGUGUGCAGACGGCUUAUUAAGUCACUUGUUAAAUUCUUCGGCCUAACUGAAGGUCUGCAAGUGAUACUGAUGAGCUAGAGGGUGGAAGAGAGAAGUGGAAUUCUCGGAGUAGCGGUAAAAUGCGUAGAUCUCGAGAGGAACACCAAUGGCGAAGGCAGCUUCUUGGUACAUUCCUGACGUUCAUACACGAAAGCGUGGGGAGCAAACAGGAUUAGAUACCCGCGUAGUCCCUGUCUCUUAUAC
RNAcentral lists this ribosomal RNA (301 nucleotides) under uncultured bacterium. Its description in RNAcentral is "partial 16S ribosomal RNA". It matches the Rfam family "Bacterial small subunit ribosomal RNA", at positions 509 to 807 of the family's 1533-position model. The record is from RNAcentral.